Molecule: ribosomal RNA, 448 nt
Filed under: uncultured bacterium
Lineage: Bacteria
Description: bacterial SSU rRNA
Rfam family: Bacterial small subunit ribosomal RNA
Source: RNAcentral
CCAGACUCCUACGGGAGGCAGCAGUGGGGAAUAUUGCACAAUGGGGGGAACCCUGAUGCAGCGACGCCGCGUGGGUGAAGGAGUAUUUCGGUAUGUAAAGCCCUAUCAGCAGGGAAGAACAAUGACGGUACCUGACUAAGAAGCACCGGCUAAAUACGUGCCAGCAGCCGCGGUAAUACGUAUGGUGCAAGCGUUAUCCGGAUUUACUGGGUGUAAAGGGAGCGCAGGCGGCGCGUUAAGCCUGGUGUGAAAGCCCGCGGCCCAACCGCGGGACUGCAUUGGGAACUGGCGUGCUGGAGUGCCGGAGGGGCAGGCGGAAUUCCUGGUGUAGCGGUGAAAUGCGUAGAUAUCAGGAGGAACACCGGUGGCGAAGGCGGCCUGCUGGACGGAUACUGACGCUGAGGCCCGAAAGCGUGGGGAGCGAACAGGAUUAGAUACCCCAGUAGUU